CCUACGGGAGGCAGCAGUGAGGAAUAUUGGUCAAUGGGCGCGAGCCUGAACCAGCCAAGUCGCGUGAAGGAUGACUGCCCUACGGGUUGUAAACUUCUUUUAUAAGGGAAUAAAGUGCGGCACGUGUGCCUCUUUGUGUGUACUUUAUGAAUAAGGAUCGGCUAACUCCAUGCCAGCAGCCGCGGUAAUACGGAGGAUCCGAGCGUUAUCCGGAUUUAUUGGGUUUAAAGGGAGCGUAGAUGGGUUGUUAAGUCAGUGGUGAAAGUUUGCGGCUCAACCGUAAAAUUGCGAUUGAUACUGGCAGCCUUAGUGACAGUAGGGGUAGGGGGAAUUCGUGGUGUGGCGGGGAAAU
RNAcentral lists this ribosomal RNA (352 nucleotides) under uncultured bacterium. RNAcentral describes it as "partial 16S ribosomal RNA". It matches the Rfam family "Bacterial small subunit ribosomal RNA", at positions 338 to 687 of the family's 1533-position model. The record is from RNAcentral.